This 75-nucleotide transfer RNA is filed under the name Bos taurus (domestic cattle). It matches the Rfam family "tRNA". From Rfam's summary of the family: Transfer RNA (tRNA) molecules are approximately 80 nucleotides in length. Their secondary structure includes four short double-helical elements and three loops (D, anti-codon, and T loops). Lineage: Eukaryota; Metazoa; Chordata; Mammalia; Artiodactyla; Bovidae. The record is from Rfam by way of RNAcentral. RNAcentral also lists the same sequence under 2 other names.
GUCUCCAUAGUGCAAUCGGUUAGUGCAUUCAGCUCUUAACUGUAAAGGUUGGUGGUUCGAGUCCACCCAGGGACA